This 1082-nucleotide unclassified non-coding RNA is filed under the name Hevea brasiliensis (rubber tree). Lineage: Eukaryota; Viridiplantae; Streptophyta; Magnoliopsida; Malpighiales; Euphorbiaceae. The record is from RNAcentral.
AAAAUAUUGGGUCAGUUGAACCCAUCGAGCUAAUAAGCUACAUUUGCCAUUGAGUAGAUCAAGGGACAAAAUAGUCUGUUUAGCAGAUUAAUUUACCUAUACACAAAUCAAAAUAUAAUACAACAAAGAAUAUCCAAAAUAUCAAAACCUAAAGCAAUUCAGAUAAGUGAUCAUCUUUCCCCCAACAAUGAUUCAAGAAGUGCAGCCUCUUCUUCCACUAAGGCGUUAAAUUCAGUCUCCUCGUCUAUGGCGCUGAUGAUGGCCGGGUCUUCCAAGAGUUCAUCAUCAGCAAUCUGCAAUAGACCAUCUUUGCCCUUCACUGCAACAAAGAGAAGUGGGUCCGAAGGUGUAUAAAUCAUAUAGUGGGAACCAUCCAUGUGGAAGCAUGUAAUUUCUAUUCCUUCACUUGGCAAGCCAUCUACAUCAUCACCAUCAUCUGUUCUAAAUUCAAAUAUGUCAUCCUCUGUGUAGCAACAUCCUCCUCGUGCUGUGUAACAGAAUCCACUGUACACCAGAUGCAUGUGUAUCUUGGCUAGAGCAUAGGCUGCAGUGGGUAGGAUAGCUUCAACUUCUUCAUCGCUUACAGCAGACCACCCCUCGACAUUUGUGCUCUUUAAGAUCUGAACAGGCAUAUCAACAGGACAAAGUAAUAGACAUUCAUCUCCUCGUGUGCUUCUAAAAACCCUCCUGAUGACACAUUCCAAUGGGAAAUUGUUGGUAGAAUCAACGAUUGUAGCAAUACGCUUAUUGGAAGCCAUGAGAACUCUGCCCUGCUCAUCCAAAACAAACCCAGCUGGGGGUUUAGGUAGCGGCAAAGGAUGGUACGUCUCAGAAGACUGUACCCCUUUUUCUUCAACUUCAACAUCGCUUUCGAAAUUGGAAAUGGGUUUCUUUUUCUUCUUAGUAUUAUUGGUAGAUGUACGUUUCUUCACUGGUCCAGUUUGUUGUUUCGCUGCAGAGCAAGAUAAUGAUGAAAAUUUUAGUGCAUUUUCUCUGUAAUUUUUGUUGAAAUAAGAAGAUUGGAUUGGGAAUAGAUGGGUAAUUUGGGAAUUGAAUGAUGAAGAAUUUGGGAAAAUUGCAGA